RNAcentral lists this ribosomal RNA (352 nucleotides) under uncultured bacterium. RNAcentral's name for it is "bacterial SSU rRNA". It matches the Rfam family "Bacterial small subunit ribosomal RNA", at positions 917 to 1293 of the family's 1533-position model. The record is from RNAcentral.
GGGCCCGCACAAGCGGUGGAGCAUGUGGUUUAAUUCGAUGAUACGCGAGGAACCUUACCAGGGCUUAAAUGUAAGUUGCAUUAGUUAGAGAUAGCUAUUUCUUCGGACUACUUACAAGGUGCUGCAUGGUUGUCGUCAGCUCGUGCCGUGAGGUGUCAGGUUAAGUCCUAUAACGAGCGCAACCCCUGUUGUUAGUUGCCAUCGAGUCAUGUCGGGAACUCUAACAAGACUGCCGGUGCAAACCGUGAGGAAGGUGGGGAUGACGUCAAAUCAUCACGGCCCUUACGGGUUGGGCUACACACGUGCUACAAUGGCAGUGACAAUGGGUUAAUCCCAAAAAGCUGUCUCAGUU